UCAUUUUUCAUUAUUCAUCUUCUAAAUAUUCAUCUUCUAAAAUUUGAGAGAGAGAGAGAGAAAAGAAGAAAACCAGAGUGAUGGAAAUCGGCCAUGGUAUCUUCUUCUUUUGCUAGACUGACGAUGGGAACCAAUAUUAGCGACAGCUACUGGAGUCGAUUUUGGCAAUGGCUUCCAUUUUUGGUUUCAACUCCGUGUAAAUGAAAGAAAGAUAUUUCUUCUGCAGUUGAAGAGAGGAAGUGAAUCUGGUGAAUACCAUGGGCGAGACUGCUAAAAAAAAUUGGUGUCUCUGGCCUCAUUUCGUAUUGUGAUGAUCUUGUUAGAGUUCUUCAGAACAAAAAGGACACUAAUAAUUUGAUGCCGUGUACUGACAAUGUCGAAUUGUUUCAAUCAUCAUGUGAUGGGGAUUUUUCCGAGGUUCAAACUUCUUUGGAAGAUUUGUUCAGUUUUCCUCUUAAAAUUUCUAUGCCUUUUUGCGAGUCUCUGUAAAAAGAUUUAUUCCUUGUGCUUUCGUUACGCAUCUCUUUAUAAGUAUAAUGUUCUUCAAGUAGUUCAACUAGAUAUAGUAUCUAAAACAUCUGAUGCAAAGAAAUCUCGUUUUAAUAUCUUUUCUUGUUCAUUGUGUCGAGUUUUGGAUUCUCUUCCAUUUUUCGUGAAUGGCCAUGAUAAUAGUCCAGUAAUCAAUCAUUGUUCCAAUAUUACUUCCAUCUGUUGUAGCCACUUGACAACCUCCUUUCCGACGCAUAUCAGAAGAAGAUAGAUGAAUGCCAGCGAAGGAUAAAUGGUGUGAAAAGUAAAGUUGUUAAUGAUGCUGAGUUAGAUUCUCUCCAAAAAGAAUAUGAGGAACUUAACAGAAAAAGUUGAGUGUUCUGUUGAUUUUUGAGGUGUCCCUGAUGACUUAUGGCAAGGAAACUAUAGUGGUUUUGGUUACUGAUAUUCUUUUGUUUUCAAUUCACACAAUUGUCAGUGACAAGAUCAACCAGCUGGAGCAACAGAGGGUUUCGCUCGAAGAACGAGAGCAGAACUUGAAGAAAGCUGAUAAGGAUGAAUUUAGAGAACAGAAGAAGCUGUCCAUGUAUGCAUCUGUGACUAAUAUCAUUCCAAAUAUGGAUAUUGGAACAAAAAUUUCUGGUCAUAUCGUGGAAAGGGAAAAAAGGACUGGAAACAUUUGAAUUUGAAGCAGCAAAUUCAUCGUCAUCAUCGAUAGAGAAUUAGAAAUAUGUAACAGCGUCUGGAAAACGAUCUCUUGAGAGCUUUACUAGAUAUGGUAAAUAUGUGUUAGAUAUGGUGGAUUUGUUACUAGGGCGCGUUGAAAGUUGUCACAGUCUGGUCCCUCUGCCUCUGCCACUCCGAAUCCUGACAAGCCUGAAGCUUAAAGUUGCUGACGAGCUCUUCCUUGUCGUCUCUGCACUGUUGUUGGUGUCUUUUUAUUUAUUUUUAUUUUUUUCAAAUGAACCCUUUUACGGUGUUUAUUGUGGGAUUUGGCUGAUUGUUAUAUUUUGUUGUAAGUUGUAACCUUGGCUCCCAAGCUUGGUAUUUUUGUUACUGUUUCUUCUCUU
This is an RNA transcript of Papaver somniferum (opium poppy), 1559 nucleotides long. It is a transcript of the gene named kinetochore protein SPC24 homolog, with no coding region annotated. Lineage: Eukaryota; Viridiplantae; Streptophyta; Magnoliopsida; Ranunculales; Papaveraceae. The record is from RefSeq and is a predicted model, not a curated record. The transcript is spliced from 5 exons.